CCCUCCGAAGUUUCCCUCAGGAUAGCUGGUGCAUUUUAAAAUUAUGUUAAAUAAUCUUAUCUGGUAAAGCGAAUGAUUAGAGGCCUUAGGGUCGAAACGACCUUAACCUAUUCUCAAACUUUAAAUGGGUAAGAACCUCACCUUUCUUGAUAUGAAGGUUGAGGUUAUGAUAUAAUGUGCCCAGUGGGCCACUUUUGGUAAGCAGAACUGGCGCUGUGGGAUGAACCAAACGUAAUGUUACGGUGCCUAAAUUAACAACUCAUGCAGAUACCAUGAAAGGCGUUGGUUGCUUAAAACAGCAGGACGGUGGACAUGGAAGUCGUAAUCCGCUAAGGAGUGUGUAACAACUCACCUGCCGAAGCAACUAGCCCUUAAAAUGGAUGGCGCUUAAGUUGUAUACCUAUACAUUACCGCUAAAGUACAUGAUUUAUAAUACAAUUUCGGUUGUUUUUAUAAAUUUUGAAACUUUAGUGAGUAGGAGGGUACAAUGGUGUGCUUAGAAGUGUUUGGCGUAAGCCUGCAUGGAGCCGCCAUUGGUACAGAUCUUGGUGGUAGUAGCAAAUAAUCGAAUGAGACCUUGGAGGACUGAAGUGGAGAAGGGUUUCGUGUGAACAGUGGUUGAUCACGAGUUAGUCGGUCCUAAGUUCAAGGCGAAAGCCGAAAAUUUUCANGUUUUAA
Molecule: ribosomal RNA, 678 nt
Filed under: Rhagoletis cerasi
Lineage: Eukaryota; Metazoa; Arthropoda; Insecta; Diptera; Tephritidae
Description: partial 28S ribosomal RNA
Rfam family: Eukaryotic large subunit ribosomal RNA
Source: RNAcentral